AUUGAACGCUGGCGGCAUGCCUUACACAUGCAAGUCGAACGGCAGCACGGGGGCAACCCUGGUGGCGAGUGGCGAACGGGUGAGUAACAUAUCGGAACGUGCCCUGGAGUGGGGGAUAACUAGUCGAAAGACUAGCUAAUACCGCAUACGAUCUACGGAUGAAAGUGGGGGAUCGCAAGACCUCAUGCUCGUGGAGCGGCCGAUAUCUGAUUAGCUAGUUGGGGGGUAAAGGCCUACCAAGGCAUCGAUCAGUAGCUGGUCUGAGAGGACGACCAGCCACACUGGGACUGAGACACGGCCCAGACUCCUACGGGAGGCAGCAGUGGGGAAUUUUGGACAAUGGGCGCAAGCCUGAUCCAGCAAUGCCGCGUGAGUGAAGAAGGCC
RNAcentral lists this ribosomal RNA (385 nucleotides) under uncultured bacterium. Its description in RNAcentral is "bacterial SSU rRNA". It matches the Rfam family "Bacterial small subunit ribosomal RNA", at positions 30 to 416 of the family's 1533-position model. The record is from RNAcentral.